RNAcentral lists this transfer RNA (72 nucleotides) under Heterocephalus glaber (naked mole-rat). It matches the Rfam family "tRNA". Rfam says of the family: Transfer RNA (tRNA) molecules are approximately 80 nucleotides in length. Lineage: Eukaryota; Metazoa; Chordata; Mammalia; Rodentia; Bathyergidae. The record is from Rfam by way of RNAcentral.
GAGGAUGUAGCUCAGUGGUACAGUGUUUGCCUAGCAAGUACAAGGCCCUGGGUUCCACCCCCAGCACCACCA